GUGAGGCCGGGCCUGGCGGGGGAAGAGGGGGCGGGAGCCGGGUAGCCGCGGAAGGAGGGUGAUUGAUCAGUGCGCCGUUCCCGGCGCUCUGUCCCGUUAUUAGAGGCGGCCAAAGCAGGGCCACGCAAUAACCUCCGAAUCGCCAACUAAUUGACGCUGCAGGCAACUACUUCAUUGUGCGCGCUGGUUUUAUGUCUUCAUAGCCGGUGAUUGACAAGGUGUAAUUAGUCAUCUCACUCGGUGAUAAACAUGGGCACCCUCCUCCCGCGGCAUCAGGCCGUGUGUACCAGCAGAGGAAGCGAUAGUUGACGCUGAUAUACCAUUAAAUCAAAAUGAAGACGUUCAGAAGCAGGGAUGUUGCUCUUGGAGAAUGUGAAGACAGUUUGCUUCUUGACAAGCGAGCGAACGGGCGCCCAGAUUUUUGCAGCCUCUCGAGUCUCUCCCGAGGGAAAGGCAGGCAGAGAAAACGCCUGAUUUGGGAGCCACCAGGGAAGGAUUCCGCGCAGGGGGAGCCGCCCUCUUUGGCCCCAGACCGGCCUGCCGGGGACCCCCUUUGGGCACAGCCAACGGAUGACCUGAAACACUGAGGAUGGUGCUGGGGGUUGGGGUGGGGAAAGCCUUUUGGAUAAUAACUGCAAAGAAGAAAGAGGUGAAGACAACUGUUUCUUCUCUGCCUUGCAGCAGGAGGAACUGUGUUCUUAGAGCUGUUGGCUGCAGUCACAGGGCCAGUUGCCUGCCUCGGUUCCCUGAGUAAAGUGUAAUGUCUCCUGUUCUCAGGGUUGCACCCUUCAGCAAAUUAUAUACCUUGCUCAGCUGUGAAGGAAUCGGCAAAAAAAAUAUGAAUAUACUAGGCUGGAGAGUGUUCAUCUCAGCAGAGGAUUUACCAUUAUUGAUUAGGGUGGGGAAAGUUUGUAUCUGGGUCCGCUUAAAUCACAUUGUCAACAAUGUAAAUCUGUCAGAUCAGAUUAUUCCGAAAGCACUAUUGUAACAAAUACACAAAGCUAAUUGCAUCUCUCUACCUUCUAAUUUCCAUGCAAGAUGUAAACUGCCCUGGAAGCACACAAAAAAAGUAAAUAUUGCAACGUGUCAUUUUUUAAAACUGGUGUACCUACCACUAUUGCUUGAGAGUGAUUUUUCUUAACCUAACCCAGAAUACUACUCAGUCCUAGAAGGGACCCUAGUCCUAGAAUUUUGCUCAUUCUGUUAAUCUGGUUACUUUUUAGGUAGGAGCACAACUAAAAGCAAUGAAUUUCCUCACACAGGGAACCACAUUUUGCUAAAAGGAAAAUCAGGAAGAUUGUAUGGGGAAAAAAAGUGGGGUUGGGGG
Molecule: long non-coding RNA, 1327 nt
Organism: Bos taurus (domestic cattle)
Lineage: Eukaryota; Metazoa; Chordata; Mammalia; Artiodactyla; Bovidae
Source: Ensembl